AUUCAACUGCCAUCCAAUUGUCAUCCAUCCUCAGACAAACCAGAUGUUCCUGGAACUCUAAAAUCAAGUGCCUAGGCAGMUUUUUGAACUGGGAACAAAAUCAACUGGACCCACAAGGAGGGUCUCAUGGAUGUUCCCUGGGACCACAAUGUGACUUGAGGGCUGCAAUAAGGAUAAUGUUUUUGUUUUGUUAUUUUGGACCAAUUUCUUUUGUGCUAAAUAAAUUGAAGUUGUGUUUAUAGUACUAUAUAAUCAACUAAUUGUACUUCUAUGUGCUAAAAUGACCCCACUUAAAGGAUACUGUGUAGUUGUAAGACAUUAUUUGAGAUGUCUUCUAUACACUUACAAUGUAGCGACAUGGAGAGCUACUCGCAAAUAGUAUGAAGUACAGCAGAAGUGUCACUAGAAUAUUCCACGUGCACUUC
Salvelinus sp. IW2-2015 is the source of this 425-nucleotide long non-coding RNA. RefSeq lists it as uncharacterized. The record is from RefSeq and is a predicted model, not a curated record. Lineage: Eukaryota; Metazoa; Chordata; Actinopteri; Salmoniformes; Salmonidae.